AUUGAACGCUGGCGGCAGGCCUAAUACAUGCAAGUAGAGCGAGCGGAGGACGGGUGAGUAAUGUAGGGGGACUGCCCGAUAGAGGGGGAUAACUACUGGAACCGGUGGCUAAUACCGCAUACUAUCGGAUAACCCAGAUGGGAUUAGCUAGUAGGUGGGGUAAAGGCUCACAUAGGCGACGAUCUCUAGCUGGUCUGAAAGGAUGAUCAGCCACACUGGGACGUAGACACGGCCCAGACUCCUACGGAGGCAGCAGUGGGGAAUAUUGCACAAUGGGCGCAAGCCUGAUGCAGCCAUGCCGCGUGUAUGAAGAGGGCCUUAGGGUUGUAAAGUACGUUCAUCGGGGAGGCGUUACCCGCAGAAGAAGCACCGGCUAACUCCGUGCCAGCAGCCGCGGUAAUAC
RNAcentral lists this ribosomal RNA (403 nucleotides) under uncultured bacterium. RNAcentral describes it as "partial 16S ribosomal RNA". It matches the Rfam family "Bacterial small subunit ribosomal RNA", at positions 30 to 526 of the family's 1533-position model. The record is from RNAcentral.